Long non-coding RNA from Gastrolobium bilobum, 1280 nucleotides. RefSeq lists it as uncharacterized. Lineage: Eukaryota; Viridiplantae; Streptophyta; Magnoliopsida; Fabales; Fabaceae. The transcript is spliced from 2 exons. The record is from RefSeq and is a predicted model, not a curated record.
ACAUCUCCAUCUCUUCCCCUUCUUUGUGCUAUUCAAUCAAGAAAGCCAAAAUGGCCACAAAUUCUUCAUCUUCUUCACCCAUUUCUCUUGGAAGCUAGAACCCACUAACUAUUUCUUAACCUUGAAGCUUGGGAAGUUUAGAAACUUAUCUUCCUUUUGAAUCUUUCUUGGAGGUGCCACUUUGGUGGGUGAAAGAGGGGGCUUCUCUUGUUGAAAAUUUGGACAACCUUGCUUGUUCUUCCCUCCCUGAGUGAUAGAGGAGUGUUGAGAUUGAUAGUGGUUUGGUGAGGAACAACCGUUGGACCCAUUAUUGGAUUAGGACCUUGGUUCUUGAAACUUCAAGAAUAGGGUAAGUACCCUAGUUUUAUGUUCUUGAAGAUAUUCUAACUGAUGGCAGGUUAUUUAUGAAUUAUAUCUAUUAUUCAUUGAAUCCACACCCUUUGAAUAUGGUGUGGAAGUGUGUGACAUUGGCUUCUUGGACAAAAAGAAAGUGUUGGAGGCCAUUGCUUCAAGAGGUAAACUCUUUGAGCUUUGGAUUAAUCCCACUUAAUGUUACACCACACUUCUAGGGAGUGUUUGUUAAUUACUUAAAUGAUUGGUUGAUUGUUAGAAGUAUGGUAUAGGUGCAUUCAUAAAUAGUUGUUAUUCAUUGUGGAUGAACCAAUAAACAAGCAUUAGGGGCUAGAUUGUAUGAUUAGUGGACGAACUAAUAUACAAUUGAAUGUUUAAUGUGAUGAAUUGGUUGCUUAGUUCUUUGACCAAUUGAACUUAUGUAUGGACUUCCCUUGGGAAUUUAUCCUAAGAGAAUUGACUCUUAAAAGUUCCAUACGGACACUCACUUUGAGAGGCGGUUCAUUAGAGUGAACCUAGUGUAUGGGGUGCACAAAUUCAAUCAAUUCUAUUUUGCCUCUAUGUAUAUAUUGUUAUUAUGCCAUGUGUUUCUAACCCUUCAUGCAAGAAAGUAAACUCAAGGGUGGAGUGAUCCUCCAAAGACCUUGAGUUUACUGAAAUUCACAUCUUACCCCGUUUGGGGGCAUAUGUUUUAGGAUGUCAAGGAGGAGCUAGUUCUACUAAAGGAAAGGAGUAUCCAUAGCACUUUUUGGUGUAUAUAUAGUGAUAUCAUGUAUUUUGGAGAGUACACUAGCAAAAUCAUAUUUUGAUAGAAAUUGUAAUCUUUUGGUUAAUGACUUGUAAGAUGACAUGUAUAUUUAGAUUCAAGUUCUGUGCUAUGGUUUGUAAUUCGAGUGAUUAAGUAACAUGUAUAUGAUAUGUAUGACAUA